RNAcentral lists this ribosomal RNA (468 nucleotides) under uncultured bacterium. RNAcentral's name for it is "partial 16S ribosomal RNA". It matches the Rfam family "Bacterial small subunit ribosomal RNA", at positions 28 to 507 of the family's 1533-position model. The record is from RNAcentral.
GACGAACGCUGGCGGCGUGCUUAACACAUGCAAGUCGAACGGAAAGGCCCUGCUCUUGUGGGGUGCUCGAGUGGCGAACGGGUGAGUAACACGUGAGUAACCUGCCCUUGACUUUGGGAUAACUUCAGGAAACUGGGGCUAAUACCGGAUAGGAGCUCCUGCUGCAUGGUGGGGGUUGGAAAGUUUCGGCUGUUGGGGAUGGACUCGCGGCUUAUCAGCUUGUUGGUGGGGUAGUGGCUUACCAAGGCUUUGACGGGUAGCCGGCCUGAGAGGGUGACCGGCCACAUUGGGACUGAGAUACGGCCCAGACUCCUACGGGAGGCAGCAGUGGGGAAUAUUGCACAAUGGGCGGAAGCCUGAUGCAGCAACGCCGCGUGCGGGAUGACGGCCUUCGGGUUGUAAACCGCUUUCGCCUGUGACGAAGCGUGAGUGACGGUAAUGGGUAAAGAAGCACCGGCUAACUACGUG